This 466-nucleotide long non-coding RNA is filed under the name Nicotiana benthamiana. RNAcentral describes it as "long non-coding RNA (NBEN_LNC006900)". Lineage: Eukaryota; Viridiplantae; Streptophyta; Magnoliopsida; Solanales; Solanaceae. The record is from RNAcentral.
ACGUGAAGAAAUCAGGAAUUAUUCAAUAUAUCUCUACAAAGAACUCAUACACAUGGAUCACGUCUUCAUACAACACUUGUGAUUUUAAGGUGCACCUGGAAUUUGAGGCAAAAUAAGAAGAAAUGGGCAGUCAGCUAAGCAGUGACGAGCAGCAGUCAAAACCAAAGCAAAUUGUUCAAUUUCAACACCAAAAACUUUCACAACCACCCAGAAAUAACUCGCAGAAGAGUAAACAACAAUAAGCCACCGAAAAAAGAUCUGAUUGGACCAAAACACACUCGAAAUCAACCCACAACACUCUUAAUUUUAACAAACGAGAUGUAGAAAUACACAAAAACAAUCAAACCCUGUCAUUCAAACCUAUGCACAGGUCGCUCCAUAAACGAGAAAAGGCAAUAGGGGAUGGAUGUAGGUGGGGGUCGGGUAAGCCCUUUGGCGAGACGUAGCUUUGCUUUCCCUUCAAGGC